AAUGCCACACUCUAGGAACAAUAUCCGGCUCUAUACAACAUUGUGCGCCACAAGGGUGAUACUAUCGCCAUAGUGAUGGAAUCAUUUCCACCAAAUGUGACAUUCAGAAGAGAUUUAAUUGGACCGAGACUACAAUCAUAGAACAUUCUGCUUCAGCGGUUGUCCAUGGUGCAAUUGUCACAUGGGUCUGAUGUAUUCCGAUGGAACCUCCAUGGGAAUGGACAAUUCUCAGCGGAGUCUAUGUAUAGAGCGUUAAUCCAGUCUGACGUGCCAGUUGGUAAUAACAAGAAGAUCUGGAAGAUGAAGACCACUUAA
RNAcentral lists this ribosomal RNA (315 nucleotides) under Triticum aestivum (bread wheat). Its description in RNAcentral is "partial small subunit ribosomal RNA". The record is from RNAcentral. Lineage: Eukaryota; Viridiplantae; Streptophyta; Magnoliopsida; Poales; Poaceae.